CCUGCUAUGGUAUAACUUAGUGGCAGACGGGUGAGUAAUGUAUAGGAAUCUACCUAGUAGUACGGAAUAAUUGUUGGAAACGGCAACUAAUACCGUAUACGCCCUACGGGGGAAAAAUUUAUUGCUAUUAUAUGAGCCUAUAUUAGAUUAGCUAGUUGGUGGAGUAAUAGCCUACCAAGGCAAUGAUCUAUAGCUGAUCUGAGAGGGUGAUCAGCCACACUGGAACUGAGAUACGGUCCAGACUUCUACGGGAGGCAGCAGUGGGGAAUAUUGGACAAUGGGCGAAAGCCUGAUCCAGCCAUGUCGCAUGAGUGAAGAAGGCUUUUGGGUUGUAAAGCUCUUUUAGUGAGGAAGAUAAUGACGGUACUCACAGAAGAAGU
This 380-nucleotide ribosomal RNA is filed under the name Wolbachia pipientis. Its description in RNAcentral is "bacterial SSU rRNA". It matches the Rfam family "Bacterial small subunit ribosomal RNA", at positions 76 to 491 of the family's 1533-position model. The record is from RNAcentral. Lineage: Bacteria; Pseudomonadati; Pseudomonadota; Alphaproteobacteria; Rickettsiales; Anaplasmataceae.